RNAcentral lists this ribosomal RNA (253 nucleotides) under uncultured bacterium. RNAcentral describes it as "partial 16S ribosomal RNA". It matches the Rfam family "Bacterial small subunit ribosomal RNA", at positions 524 to 776 of the family's 1533-position model. The record is from RNAcentral.
UACGUAGGGAGCAAGCGUUAUCCGGAUUUAUUGGGUGUAAAGGGUGCGUAGACGGGAAGGCAAGUUGGUUGUGAAAUCCCUCGGCUUAACUGAGGAACUGCAACCAAAACUAUCUUUCUUGAGUGCUGGAGAGGAAAGUGGAAUUCCUAGUGUAGCGGUGAAAUGCGUAGAUAUUAGGAGGAACACCAGUGGCGAAGGCGACUUUCUGGACAGUAACUGACACUGAGGCUCGAAAGCGUGGGGAGCAAACAGG